This 67-nucleotide transfer RNA is filed under the name Megaselia spiracularis. RNAcentral describes it as "tRNA-Ser". It matches the Rfam family "tRNA". Rfam says of the family: Transfer RNA (tRNA) molecules are approximately 80 nucleotides in length. Lineage: Eukaryota; Metazoa; Arthropoda; Insecta; Diptera; Phoridae. The record is from RNAcentral.
AGUUAAUGAGCUUGAUAUAAGCAUAUGUUUUGAAAGCAUAAGAUAGAAUUCAAUUUUCUAUUAACUU